This 244-nucleotide long non-coding RNA is filed under the name Bos taurus (domestic cattle). RNAcentral describes it as "long non-coding RNA NONBTAT000167". The record is from RNAcentral. Lineage: Eukaryota; Metazoa; Chordata; Mammalia; Artiodactyla; Bovidae.
UUUUUUUUCAAUUUGUCCUGUAAAUCAUGUGUAAGAGUCUCCUAUUUUUUAAAUGCCUUCCUAGUCAUUUCUCUCUUCUUGUAUACCCUCUAAUUGAACCACAUCUUGUGUCUGCUCUCUAUCUAAUUCGUUUGAUCAUUUUACUUUAUAUCGUAUUGUCUCUUUAUCCCCUCUUGAUAAGCACAUCUCUUCCAUAUUUGUAAUGGAUCAAGACAUUCAUAUUUGAACAUCAUUGUAUGUAUGG